AUAAUUUACAAAAUCGAAAAUUCACUGAAACAAUAAAACUAAUCGUUAAUUUAUGCAAAGAAUGGUUUGCCAAGGUACAAAUCGUGACUAACGUCUUAAUAUCAGACAUUAAAACCCUAUGGAUAAUAACAAGCGGAAGUAAUUUGCAUAAAGCAAAAGUCAUAGGAAGAUUUAUAUUUUAUUAUUUGAUAAUAACAGCACUUAGUAUAAUUGAAAAGGGAUUUUGGUUAAACAAGCAAAUAUUUAAAGUUACCAACGACGUGGUCCUAAGUACUGUUCAAAAUAAACAAACAACAACAGUAUUAUUUAUUUUUAUUGGUAUAAUUUUACUUGGUUUUCUGCUUGGAGCUGCAAUCACGUCUUCUGCAUGCGACGAUUAACAGACUAUUCAUUCUUUUUGUUUUUACUGUUCUAUUCUUACCUUGUCUAACGCAAAUGUCACGAUUGUAUGCACGCGAACUCGCUAAAUCGAUUUUGCAGAUUUAAACUUGAUCUUGAGUAAACCCAAAGCUUCAGAAGAAAAUACUUUUUUUUUCACCAUCCAAUAAAAAAAUUUACUGCCCUUCCCUUUGUAAAGAAAAAUUGAACAA
Long non-coding RNA from Microplitis mediator, 590 nucleotides. RefSeq lists it as uncharacterized. The transcript is spliced from 3 exons. NCBI's taxonomy places the organism in Eukaryota, Metazoa, Arthropoda, Insecta, Hymenoptera, Braconidae. The record is from RefSeq and is a predicted model, not a curated record.